Molecule: long non-coding RNA, 473 nt
Organism: Drosophila novamexicana
Lineage: Eukaryota; Metazoa; Arthropoda; Insecta; Diptera; Drosophilidae
Exons: 2
Source: RefSeq, a predicted model, not a curated record
CUUUGCGCGUUUUUGCAAUAAAUUAACUGCUCAACACUUUGGCUGACCAGCUCGCAACCGAAGAUGGAAAUCGUCUUAAAAUUGUUUGACUUUGCAAGAGAUUUGAAAUUCAUAAGACUUUGAACCAAGAGUUUAUUAUAUUUUUACUCCCACAAUCUAUUAAAAAUGGCUUAAAAAGUGUAUAAUGUUUUUCUGCGAAGCCAGAAGGAUACAUCUCCCCGACCCCGGACGAACGGCUGAGUCGAUCCAACCAUGUCCUUCAGUUGCGCAAACUACAAAUGCUUGAAAUUGGAGAUAUAUACCAUGCAGUGUUUGCCUUUCUCCUGUCGGAUCUGUUUAUACCCUGUACCCCUUGUAAUUGGGCCUAAAGAGUAUAUUAGUUUUGUGCAAAGGUAUGUAACAUUUUUACGAUGUUAUCAUGAUAUUUUAAUUGAAAAUAUAAAGCUGUAUACACCAAAUGGUGGCACAAAAUA